RNAcentral lists this ribosomal RNA (253 nucleotides) under uncultured bacterium. Its description in RNAcentral is "partial 16S ribosomal RNA". It matches the Rfam family "Bacterial small subunit ribosomal RNA", at positions 524 to 776 of the family's 1533-position model. The record is from RNAcentral.
GACGUAGGAGGCGAGCGUUGUCCGGAUUCAUUGGGCGUAAAGAGCGUGUAGGCGGUCCGGUAAGUCCGCUGUGAAAGUCGGGGGCUCAACCCUCGAAUGCCGGUGGAUACUGUCGGGCUAGAGUGCGGAAGAGGCGAGUGGAAUUCCUGGUGUAGCGGUGAAAUGCGCAGAUAUCAGGAGGAACACCUAUUGCGAAGGCAGCUCGCUGGGACGUCACUGACGCUGAGACGCGAAAGCGUGGGGAGCAAACAGG